GGAUGAACGCUGGCGGCGUGCUUAACACAUGCAAGUCGAACGGAAAGGSGSSWGCUUGCWKGGGUACUCGAGUGGCGAACGGGUGAGUAACACGUGGGUGAUCUGCCCUGCACUUCGGGAUAAGCCUGGGAAACUGGGUCUAAUACCGGAUAGGACCACAUUUUGGAUGGUGUGGUGGAAAGUUUUUUCGGUGUGGGAUGAGCUCGCGGCCUAUCAGCUUGUUGGUGGGGUAAUGGCCUACCAAGGCGUCGACGGGUAGCCGGCCUGAGAGGGUGUACGGCCACAUUGGGACUGAGAUACGGCCCAGACUCCUACGGGAGGCAGCAGUGGGGAAUAUUGCACAAUGGGCGCAAGCCUGAUGCAGCGACGCCGCGUGGGGGAUGACGGCCUUCGGGUUGUAAACUCCUUUCSCUAGGGACGAAGCGCAAGUGACGGUACCUGGAGAAGAAGCACCGGCUAACUACGU
RNAcentral lists this ribosomal RNA (466 nucleotides) under Corynebacterium sp. 'ARUP UnID 226'. Its description in RNAcentral is "bacterial SSU rRNA". It matches the Rfam family "Bacterial small subunit ribosomal RNA", at positions 27 to 506 of the family's 1533-position model. Lineage: Bacteria; Bacillati; Actinomycetota; Actinomycetes; Mycobacteriales; Corynebacteriaceae. The record is from RNAcentral.